Molecule: long non-coding RNA, 186 nt
Organism: Nothoprocta perdicaria
Lineage: Eukaryota; Metazoa; Chordata; Aves; Tinamiformes; Tinamidae
Exons: 2
Source: RefSeq, a predicted model, not a curated record
UUUUUACCUUUGAUUUUUGUUACACAGAUAAUAAAAGCUUCCCAUGAUAAUCCCCUAAAUCAAGGAAAAAACAGGACUGUAAAGAGGGGAUCAGUUUGGUGUCCAUCAAAGUGAGCCUCAGAGAUCCUGACAAGAAGAUGAAUGAUGCUGAAGAGCUGCCUGUAAACAGCCUUGUGCAGAUGUGGU